GGGGUAUUAGCUCAGUUGGUUAGAGCGUCACGUUGACAUCGUGAAGGUCAGCUGUUCAAGUCA
This 63-nucleotide transfer RNA is filed under the name Chlamydia pecorum. RNAcentral's name for it is "tRNA-Val". It matches the Rfam family "tRNA", at positions 1 to 60 of the family's 71-position model. From Rfam's summary of the family: Transfer RNA (tRNA) molecules are approximately 80 nucleotides in length. Their secondary structure includes four short double-helical elements and three loops (D, anti-codon, and T loops). Further hydrogen bonds mediate the characteristic L-shaped molecular structure. tRNAs have two regions of fundamental functional importance: the anti-codon, which is responsible for specific mRNA codon recognition, and the 3' end, to which the tRNAs corresponding amino acid is attached (by aminoacyl-tRNA synthetases). tRNAs cope with the degeneracy of the genetic code in two manners: having more than one tRNA (with a specific anti-codon) for a particular amino acid; and 'wobble' base-pairing, i.e. permitting non-standard base-pairing at the 3rd anti-codon position. Lineage: Bacteria; Pseudomonadati; Chlamydiota; Chlamydiia; Chlamydiales; Chlamydiaceae. The record is from RNAcentral.